This is a regulatory RNA element of Pseudomonas rhizosphaerae, 99 nucleotides long. It matches the Rfam family "Ribosomal S15 leader". Rfam says of the family: The E. coli Ribosomal S15 gene 5' UTR can form two alternative structures. One that is a series of three hairpins, The other includes a pseudoknot. The record is from Rfam. Lineage: Bacteria; Pseudomonadati; Pseudomonadota; Gammaproteobacteria; Pseudomonadales; Pseudomonadaceae.
GUUGGACACUGCGUGCAGUGCCCUUGAUAUUGGAGAUGCCUCAUGGCUCUUAGCGUUGAAGACAAAGCUCAAAUCGUUGCCGACUACCAGCAAGCCGUU